Molecule: long non-coding RNA, 529 nt
Organism: Wasmannia auropunctata (little fire ant)
Lineage: Eukaryota; Metazoa; Arthropoda; Insecta; Hymenoptera; Formicidae
Exons: 2
Source: RefSeq, a predicted model, not a curated record
AGAUGUGUAUAAGAGACAGGUAUGGGGUCAAGCUAGAAGGAGAGAAAAUUUAUUCGCUGUUAUAUGCGGAUGACAUGGUGUUGGUGGAAGAGGAGGAUAGGAUGAGAAUCAUGUUAGUAAGUUUAAAACUUUAGAAAAAAUAUUUGGUCUGAUUGAUGGUGAGGUAUGGAAUUAAACUAGAAGGAGAGAAAAUUUACUCGCUGUUAUAUGCGGAUGACAUGGUGUUGGCGGACAAAAAGGAUGGGAUGAGAAUCAUGUUAGGUGGAAACUUUAGAAAAAAUAUUUGGUCUGAUUGAUGGUGUACCUUGGCUAAAGAUCUGCACACAACACUGAAACACUUCGUCACCUCGCCUCGUGCCGCAAGAGAGAGAUCAGAAUAGGUUAACCGGCGAUGAUCAAAUGGCGCGCGCGAUAAAAGGCGAGUUUUCAUUAAUUGCUCAUUAUUGAUCAAUCGAUCACAUUAUGCGUAAAUGCAGCUUUUAUAAGCAAAAUUGCAUUUUACGCAUAAUAAUGCGACUAAUAAGUCCAA